CCAAGGCUCAUGGAGCAACGUGUGGCCGGGACCUGCUCCUGGCGCUGCCCCUGGCACAGACUCUACCCGAGAAAGCAGAAAGUGACAAGGACCCUCAGAGAAGAUGAGGGACCCACUUCGAGGCUCGGAGGCCCCGUGGGCUACCAGCCCACGGCUGCGAACCACACAGGAAGAGGCCUGGCCGCAUCCCCUCGUCCCCAAGACCACUUGCUGACCCUGCUCCCCGCUCCAGCCGCAAGACGGCCCCGUCCAGACACACGGAGGUGAAUAAGUCAUCAAACCACUUGGAAAAAUAAAAUCGCACAGAGCUUCACA
This 315-nucleotide long non-coding RNA is filed under the name Homo sapiens (human). RNAcentral's name for it is "HSALNT0235384". Lineage: Eukaryota; Metazoa; Chordata; Mammalia; Primates; Hominidae. The record is from RNAcentral.